GUAACACCCACAUAUAAUAUAUGUCUAGAAUACAUAUUAUACAUAGUGUAAAACUGGUACUGAAAUACAUAAGUGCCUAGCAGCACAUCAUACAUAUACAAUACAUGCCCAAAAUAACAUAAUAUGGCAUAAGUGUACAUAAGAGUGCCCAAAAUAAAACUACUGAACUAGAUCAUUAGACAAUGAUCUCAAAAAUAUCUACACAGCGGAAGAAAAGCCAUCAGUCCUCAGGUAAGCAAGACAUCACUCUAUCUUGCCCUUACCCUUAUCCUGUUCAGAACCACCU
Molecule: long non-coding RNA, 286 nt
Filed under: Lathyrus oleraceus (garden pea)
Lineage: Eukaryota; Viridiplantae; Streptophyta; Magnoliopsida; Fabales; Fabaceae
Description: Pisum sativum (pea) long non-coding RNA (PSAT_LNC024832)
Source: RNAcentral